GCUACAAUAUGAGAAAAAUACAGCAUUCUAGAGUCUCAAAAGAGAAAAAGAUGAUAUGAAAACCAGAAAGGCUUUGUGGAAGAAGGAGCUUCUGAAACGAGGUUGGAUCGAACCCAUGCAGCUGAGCAGAGAAUUUUCCAGCAAAAUGUACACCUGAAACAAAGGAUGGGGGCAGGAAACAAGGUUGGAGGAACACCGACUAGUCACUUAGCUAGGAGAAUCGGUGCUAGUAGGAGAGAGGAGGGCUAGAGGCAGAAAUCUGCUUAACAGGAUCAUCAUGUAGAGAACAUAGCAGGCUGAACGGAAGGAAUGUACUUAAAUAGGAUAGCACCUGAGCAACCACCAGAGACUGUGGAAGAGGAUGGCGAUCAGACCAGGGCUGCUCCUCAUGAAAGCUAACACAGGGACGGUGGCAGCAGGCAGACAGGAAGGCAGGCUGUGUUCAUAGUCAGGCUUUCUCAGGCUGACAGCAGAGCAGAAAAGAGGCACCUGACUGGCUUCUGAUUUCUCUCCUUCCUCUUCCCCCCAUACACCAGCUGCUCUGUGAUCAUUUCUUCCAAGUGAGAGACUCCACAAGCAGAAAAAGCCAGCCAUUCUCCACUCGUGGAGGAGCAACUUCAUCCAACAGGUGGUCACAUUCACACAAUGGAUGGAUUAAAUAAAGAUCAACUUUAGCUUCUGG
This is a long non-coding RNA of Suricata suricatta (meerkat), 682 nucleotides long. RefSeq lists it as uncharacterized. The transcript is spliced from 4 exons. The record is from RefSeq and is a predicted model, not a curated record. NCBI's taxonomy places the organism in Eukaryota, Metazoa, Chordata, Mammalia, Carnivora, Herpestidae.